Pongo abelii (Sumatran orangutan) is the source of this 73-nucleotide small nucleolar RNA. Its record names the gene SNORD115. It matches the Rfam family "Small nucleolar RNA SNORD115". Rfam says of the family: HBII-52 is a member of the C/D class of snoRNAs, which contain the C (UGAUGA) and D (CUGA) box motifs. HBII-52 is encoded in a tandemly repeated array with another C/D snoRNA, HBII-85, in the Prader-Willi syndrome (PWS) region of chromosome 15. HBII-52 is exclusively expressed in the brain but is absent in PWS patients. NCBI's taxonomy places the organism in Eukaryota, Metazoa, Chordata, Mammalia, Primates, Hominidae. The record is from Ensembl.
GGGUUGGGCUUAUAUUGUCCUGAAGAAAGGUGAUGACUUAAAAAUCAUGCUCAAUAGUAUUAUGCUGAAGCCC